CGAAUGGCUCAUUACAACAGCCAUAGUUUAUUAGAUCUUACUCUACUUGGAUACCUGUGGUAACCUAAGAGCUAAUACAUGCAAUCAAGUCCUGACCUUUCGGGAAGGACGCAUUUAUUAGAACAAAACCAAUCGGGCUUUGCCCGUAGUUUGGUGAAUCUGAAUAACUAUGCUGAUCGCACAGUCCUCGAACUGGCGACGUUUCUUUCAAAUGUCUGGCUUAUCAACUUUCGACGGUAGUAUACACGACUACCGUGGUAUCCACGGGUGACGGAGAAUUAGGGUUCGACUCCGGAGAGGGAGCCUGAGAAACGGCUACCACAUCCAAGGAAGGCAGCAGGCACGCAAAUUACCCACUCCCGGCACGGGGAGGUAGUGACGAAAAAUAACGAGACGGUUCUCUAAGAGGCCCGUCAUCGAAAUGGGUACAGUUUAAACCCCUUAACGAGGAUCUAUUGGAGGGCAAGUCUGGUGCCAGCAGCCGCGGUAAUUCCAGCUCCAAAAGCGUAUAUUAAAGUUGUUGCGGUUAAAAAGCUCGUAGUUGGAUCUACGCCAUUGGUUGGCGGUCUCCCAGAAGGGCAGUACUGCCGUACCAGGGCUAUUUUUCUGGUUAUCCCUGGUGGUCCUUACCCAGUGGCUUGGAUGACCUGAACGUUUACUUUUGAAAAAUUAAAGUGGUUAAAGCAAGCCAACCGCCCUAAUAAUUGUGCAUGGAAUAAUAAAAUAAGACUUCCGGUCUAUUUUGUUGGUUUUCGGAACUCCAGGUAAUGAUUAAGAAGGAACAAACGGGGGCAUUCUAUUGCGAACUUAGAAGGUAAAAUUCUGGAUCGUCGCCAGAACCACCAACUGCGAAAGCAUUUGCCCAGAAUGGUUUCAUUAAUCCAGAACCGAAAGUUAGAGGUUCGAAGCGAAUCAGAUACCGCCCUAAGUUCUAACCGUAAACCAUGCCAGCCCAGCGAUCCGCGGAAGUUAAUUUCAUGACUUCGCGGGCAGCCUUCAGGAAAACCAAAGCUUUUGGGUUCCGGGGGAAGUAUGUUGCAAAUCCUGAAACUUAAAGGAAUUGACCGAAGGGCACCACCAGGAGUGGAGCCUGCGGCUUAAUUUGACUCAACGCGGGGAAACUCACCCGGCCCGGACACCGUAAGGAUUGACAGAAUGAGAGCUCUUUCUUGAUUCGGUGGUUGGUGGUGCAUGGCCGUUCUUAGUUGGUGGAGCGAUUUGUCUGGUUAAUUCCGAUAACGAACGAGACUCUAGCCUACUAAACUAGGCAAUGGAUUUAGAUUGUUCAUUGAACUUCUUAGACGGACAGAGGGUGUCUAGCCCUACGAGAUUGAGCAAUAACAGGUCUGUGAUGCCCUUAGAUGUUCGGGGCUGCACGCGCGCUACACUGAAAGAAUCAAUGUGCUUGAAAACCUUGCCCGGAAGGGCUGGGUAACCCGGUGAAACUCUUUCGUGCUUGGGAUAGGGACUUGCAAUUAUUUCCCUUGAACGAGGAAUUCCUAGUAAGUGUGGGUCAUCAUCUCGCGUUGAUUACGUCCCUGCCCUUUGUACACACCGCCCGUCGCUACUACCGAUUGGAUGAUUUAGUGAGGCCCUCGGACUGGUACCAGCGCGACCUCACGGCUGCGCUGGACUCUGGGAAGAAGGCCUAACUUG
RNAcentral lists this ribosomal RNA (1656 nucleotides) under Enoploides delamarei. RNAcentral's name for it is "SSU rRNA". It matches the Rfam family "Eukaryotic small subunit ribosomal RNA". Lineage: Eukaryota; Metazoa; Nematoda; Enoplea; Enoplida; Thoracostomopsidae. The record is from RNAcentral.